This 66-nucleotide transfer RNA is filed under the name Clephydroneura sp. Its description in RNAcentral is "tRNA-Leu". The record is from RNAcentral. Lineage: Eukaryota; Metazoa; Arthropoda; Insecta; Diptera; Asilidae.
GCUAUUUUGGCAGAUUAGUGCAGUAAAUUUAGAAUUUAUUUAUGUAAUAAAAUUUUACAAAUAGUA